UAGAGUUUGAUCAUGGCUCAGGACGAACGCUGGCGGCGUGCUUAACACAUGCAAGUGGAGCGACGAACCGGGGCUUGCCCCGGGGCAGAGCCGCGAACGGGUGAGUAACACGUGGGUUACCUACCCCAAUGACCGGGACAACCCGAGGAAACUCGGGCUAAUACCGGAUGUGGUCUUCGGACGAAAGGAAGCUUCGGCCUCCGCAUUGGGAUGGGCCCGCGGCGCAUUAGCUUGUUGGUGGGGUAACGGCCUACCAAGGCGACGACGGGUAGCCGGCCUGAGAGGGCGACCGGCCACACUGGGACUGAGACACGGCCCAGACUCCUACGGGAGGCAGCAGUGGGGAAUUUUGGACAAUGGGCGCAAGCCUGAUCCAGCCAUGCCGCGUGCGGGAAGAAGGCCUUCGGGUUGUAAACCGCUUUUGUCAGGGAAGAAACGGUCUGAUCUAAUACAUCGGACUAAUGACGGUACCUGAAGAAUAAGCACCGGCUAACUACGUGCCAGCAGCCGCGGUACGCC
RNAcentral lists this ribosomal RNA (519 nucleotides) under uncultured bacterium. RNAcentral's name for it is "bacterial SSU rRNA". It matches the Rfam family "Bacterial small subunit ribosomal RNA", at positions 1 to 526 of the family's 1533-position model. The record is from RNAcentral.